This is a long non-coding RNA of Oncorhynchus tshawytscha (Chinook salmon), 209 nucleotides long. RefSeq lists it as uncharacterized. Lineage: Eukaryota; Metazoa; Chordata; Actinopteri; Salmoniformes; Salmonidae. The record is from RefSeq and is a predicted model, not a curated record. The transcript has 2 exons.
UCCAUGUCUACUGGUGGGAACACCAUCCGUACUGGGUAGAGGAGGAGGUGGGGAGUUUUCUGCUCCAUGUCUACUGGUGGGAACACCAUCCGUACUGGGUAGAGGAGGAGGUGGGGAGUUUUCUGCUCCAUGUCUACUGGUGGGAACACCAUCCGUACUGGGUAGAGGAGGAGGUGGGGAGUUUUCUGCUCCAUGUCUACUGGUGGGAA